RNAcentral lists this long non-coding RNA (246 nucleotides) under Homo sapiens (human). RNAcentral describes it as "HSALNT0206247". The record is from RNAcentral. Lineage: Eukaryota; Metazoa; Chordata; Mammalia; Primates; Hominidae.
UCACAGACUUGACAAAACAAAACACCCUGCGAGAGAAAUCCUGAGCCUGGAGGAUCUGACAAAGGAGCGUCUUCAUGUACCCCACACAGGGUCAUGUUACUCACCAAGGCAGGGCACUAACAUCACACCAGGUCUUUCAUCAGUGGAUAAUGAAAGGCAGUUGAGACUUUUUGCAGUGAUUUGUAAGUUUUGAAAUUUACUUACAACCACUUAAGAACAUUUAGAUCCGGAUUAUCAAUCAGUAAG